GUGUCAGCCGCCGCGGUAAUACAGAGGGUGCAAGCGUUAAUCGGAAUUACUGGGCGUAAAGAGCUCGUAGGCGGUUUGGUAAGUCGGAUGUGAAAUCUCCAGGCUCAACUUGGAGGGGUCAUUCGGUACUGCCAUGACUAGAGUUCGGUAGGGGAGUGUGGAAUACCUGGUGGAGCGGUGAAAUGCGCAGAUAUCAGGUGGAACACCCGUAGCGAAGGCGGCACUCUGGGCCGGAACUGACGCUGAGGAGCGAAAGCGUGGGGAGCGAACAGGAUUAGAUACCCUGGUAGUCCACGCCGUAAACGUUGGGCACUAGGUGUGGGGUUCUAUCGACGGAUUCCGUGCCGUAGCUAACGCAUUAGGUGCCCCGCCUGGGGAGUACGGCCGCAAGGCUAAA
Molecule: ribosomal RNA, 397 nt
Filed under: uncultured bacterium
Lineage: Bacteria
Description: bacterial SSU rRNA
Rfam family: Bacterial small subunit ribosomal RNA
Source: RNAcentral